This is a long non-coding RNA of Prionailurus viverrinus (fishing cat), 650 nucleotides long. RefSeq lists it as uncharacterized. NCBI's taxonomy places the organism in Eukaryota, Metazoa, Chordata, Mammalia, Carnivora, Felidae. The transcript is spliced from 3 exons. The record is from RefSeq and is a predicted model, not a curated record.
AUUUCCAUCUCUGCCUCAUCUUUUAUAAAUAUCAAGGAAUGCCCCAACAUUGUCCCCAUCCCACUCCCAACUCCAACCCACUCAAAUCAAGAGAGGAGUUCAAAACCUCAACCUUGAAAAGCUUCUGGAAUCCAAUAGGCUGUGCCUCGCUUGCCUCAUCACAUCCAUUCCCACAGCACAGGCAAGUCAGUUAUUUGUCAAGAAGCCAGCUUACCUGUUGACGAGACCUCGUAUGCUCCAUUGGAUUAUUCUAGGGGUCCAUUUGAAGGGAAAGAUCCAGAAACAUCUUCAUCAAUACUUGCAGAGGCUAGGAGCAGUAUCAUCCUAAUUCCUGACUAUGGGGGCAGGAAAUUCCAGGCCACAAAGGUCGCUAACAUUUUUACCUGAUUUGCCCCCGGAUUUAAAGGUCAUACUCAGAGGCAGGCCCCGGCGUAAACAUGGAGUCGUGAAUUCCACGAGGUUCCAGUCUUCGAGGAGCACAUCAUACCUGCUAGAACGCACAGCCAAGGAGAUUGGUAAUGAUGUGGCACCGGCUGUGCUGAUGGAGUCAGAGAGGGAAGGUCUAAUCCGGACAGUUUCCACUGUCCCUCUGGGUCUGAGCAGCACCUUCCCCAGCUUUUAUGAAUACAGCUGUUUUCAUAACCAUUGCG